AAAGGAAUUGACGGGGACCCGCACAAGCGGUGGAGCAUGUGGUUUAAUUCGAUGCUACGCGAAGAACCUUACCAGGACUUGACAUCUUCUGCCAAUCUAAGAGAUUAGACGUUCCCUUCGGGGACAGAAUGACAGGUGGUGCAUGGUUGUCGUCAGCUCGUGUCGUGAGAUGUUGGGUUAAGUCCCGCAACGAGCGCAACCCUUGUCUUUAGUUGCCAGCAUUAAGUUGGGCACUCUAGAGAGACUGCCGGUGAUAAACCGGAGGAAGGUGGGGAUGACGUCAAAUCAUCAUGCCCCUUAUGUCCUGGGCUACACACGUGCUACAAUGGGCGAUACAACGAGUUGCGAAACCGCGAGGUCAAGCUAAUCUCUUAAAGUCGUUCUCAGUUCGGAUUGCAGUCUGCAACUCGACUGCAUGAAGUUGGAAUCGCUAGUAAUCGUGGAUCAGCAUGCCACGGUGAAUACGUUCCCGGGUCUUGUACACACCGCCCGU
RNAcentral lists this ribosomal RNA (493 nucleotides) under uncultured bacterium. RNAcentral describes it as "bacterial SSU rRNA". It matches the Rfam family "Bacterial small subunit ribosomal RNA", at positions 903 to 1397 of the family's 1533-position model. The record is from RNAcentral.